RNAcentral lists this long non-coding RNA (2688 nucleotides) under Sus scrofa (pig). RNAcentral's name for it is "lncRNA (ENSSSCG00000055381.1)". Lineage: Eukaryota; Metazoa; Chordata; Mammalia; Artiodactyla; Suidae. The record is from RNAcentral.
UCCGGCGCCAACCGCACCGGAACGCGGGCAGUGUGGACGCCCACCUCGGGCUCGGUUUACCCGCCGGUGGAGAGGGCCGAGGUCUUGCGCCAGCGGACCUAGAAGCGGCGUCUCUUCAGCACGCGCAGUCCAGCGUCUACUCUGUGCCAGGGACCCGUGUGGAGGGUGCCUGGUCGGGGCCGGGGAGCCAGCGCUUCCUGGGCACUUUAAACAGUGCUCCCUGGCUGGGACCGGUUUACCCCGGGCCGGCUUCUGGGCCCUGCCGCGCGAGGACCGAGCGUACCCCUACGGUGCGCGGCGCGCCGGGGGACGAGAGACGUCGAGCCUGACUCACCCCUGGGGACUCCUGCUCUCCUGAGGGAGAGGACAGGAAACUGCUGAGAGUCACUAAGAUUUGGAUCCUCAGUCUGUGUGUGGGAAGUGCACUCAGAUACCAUGCAGAGGCAGGAGUCCAGAGAGGAUGUGGCUGCAAUAGUCCAGGUAGGAGGAGAUGGAGGGUCAGACCAGGGUGACCUCGGAAGUGGGAGAAGUGGUGGAUUCUGGAUGCAUUUUGAAGGUGGAGUGUCUAAGACUUGCUGGUUGAUGGAAUGUGGGGUGAAGGAAAGAGAAAUCGAGGACAACUCCCAGGUUUCUGGCCUGAACCACUGGAAGAAUGGAGAUGCCAUAGACUGAGCUGGGGAAGAACAAGGUGGGAGGAGGCUUAGGGAGGGGCAGACCAGGGGUUCUGUUUUGGGCAUGCUUCGUGUGAGGCGCAUGUUGGAUGUCUCAAGUAGAGAUGUUGAGUGGCAUAAAGCAGUUUUUCUGCCCUAGAGAAUGAUGCAUAAUUUUGGUCAUUGAGGUAGAACAAAGUCAGAAAGGAGGGAAGAUGUGGAAUCACACACCUAAAAUUGGGGAAGGCCAAGGGCAGUGAAGGACAGUGGAAGGAUCCUGGCCUUUGAAGCUUGGAGUCUCACGGCUGUGUUUCUGAGCCUGUGUGGGUCCAUUUUCCUUCUAUGCAAUGGAAAGAAUAACAUUUCAUAGGCUUGUUGUAAGGUUCACAGUGAGCACCGUGAAAGGCAGGAACCCCUGCAGAAAUAUCUGUUAAUGCUUGACCCUGAAGUGAUGGGGUGAGAGCCACACCCUCACCUGACAGUCAAGGCCCUGCUGACUCUUCAGCCUUGUCUUCUGUCACCGCCCACUGUCAUCCUGCUGCCAGGCCUUUGCCCUCACUGUACCUGCUUUCUGGUUCACAUGCUCCCCAGAGAGGAAGUGGCUGUCCCCUUCUUCAGAUCUCUGUUCUCCAGCUCCUCCUAGUUGUGAGACUCAGGCUGCCAAGCUGCCCCUCAAGGUGUCACAGUGUUGGGGGAUGGAGCCCCCCCAUGACUUGCCUCAAGUCACAUUGAUCUGGAUUGCCCCAUUAAUUUAUUCACCAAAUCUUUACUGAGACCUGCCGUGGGCCGGAUGCCAUGUAAAAUGCUGGCCAUAUAGCAGUGGUUCCUGCCCUCCCAGUUGCAAGUAAAAAGACAAUCUAGGGACAGGAGAUGUGGGGAAAAGAGAUGGGUGCAGGAUGAUAAGGGAGUGCUUUGUUAGAUGGAGGAAAACGGAGGGAGUGUACGGCCCGGGGUUGAGAGCAGUAAUGUGUGGUCCGCAAUGGUGAUCAGCAUCUACUGAGCACUUCCUGCAUGCCGGGUCAUGUGAUAACUUCAUCGAAUCUUCACACCAUCCCCCAAACAGUUACUUAUAACAGUGCCAAUGCAUUUCUCCUUACAACUCUGUGGAUUGGCUGGUGGUUCCGCUCUUUGUUUCACCUGUCUUACUCUUGCAGCUUCAUUCAGCUUCCUGCUGUGCUGCAAGGUCCACAGUGGCCUCAUUCUUACAUCCAGCAGUGGGUACUUGUUGUUGGCUGGGGCGUCUCAGUUCUGAUUGUGGCCUCUCAUCUUCCAGGAGGCUAUCUGGCUUUUUCACAUGGUGUCAUCAGGGCACCAUCCAAGAGUCCUCGGGUCAGAUGUCUUAUCAGUUACUCCAUUGCGUCUUAUUCAUCCAAACAAGUGAAAAACCAGCUUGGAGACUCCUUGUUCCUCACUGGCUCUCUUGCACCACACACCCAUUCCUGGACAAGUCACUAGCGGGAAGAUAAGUUGCCCCUUGGACUCAUCAGGCUUUCCAAGGAUCUGGGGAUGGGGUCACUUUUCUGAGGCAACUGGGCUGCCUAGGGGAGGGGUGGACAUUUGAACAAAACUGGGGCCUGGUGGGUCCAUAACUAAUCAUUGUUAAUGUUGGGUGAAACUUCUUUCUCGGCACUUCACAGAUGCAAAUAAAUGCAAAGAGAACUCGUACUGGGAGAUCCUUGGGACUGUGACCUGAAUGAGGUCCAGAUCUUGGGCACAGUCAUGGAUCUUUUUCCUGGGAGUAGGCGGGAAUAAUAGAUUAAAACCAUGUUUCAAAAACUAGAAUAAAGCAUAGAGGAUUUUUAAAAACUCUUUUAAGGAGUUCCCGUCAUGGUUCAGCAGUUAAUGAACCCGACUAGGAUCCACGAGGAUGCGGGUUCCAUCCCUGGCCUCACUCAGUGGGUUAAGGAUCUGGCAUUGCUGUGAGCUGUAGUCUAGGUUGCAGACUUGGCUCAGAUCCCUCAUUGCUGUGUUUGUGGUGUAGGCCAGCAGGCUGUAGCUCCGGUUAGACCCCCUAGCCUGGGGACCUCCAUAUGCUGUG